Molecule: long non-coding RNA, 1218 nt
Organism: Arachis stenosperma
Lineage: Eukaryota; Viridiplantae; Streptophyta; Magnoliopsida; Fabales; Fabaceae
Exons: 4
Source: RefSeq, a predicted model, not a curated record
UUUCUUCUUCACUAAAGAAAUAACAUCCGCUAUUUCUUGUUUGCCUCAUUGGAGUUUUUCCUUAUUUCUAUUUUGGUCAAGCCUAGUUGGAGUGUGUUCUUCGGUUCUUUCUCCCUUAGAUUCUUGGGCUAGCCUUUCAUAGUCUAGUAGUGACCGAAAAAAAGUGAGCAGAAGGAGCAGAGGACGGCGACGGCGACCUCCGAAGGAGCGACUGCGCGAGGAAGAACCAGAGAAGAUGGAAGUGAAACUACUUAUGGCCUCUGGAGUUCUGCACUUCUGCCACUUUGAUGUGAUGAUACUGAUGAAAAAUUGCAGCACCAACAUAACGAAGUUAUUGUGAAUUUGGAUCUGAUUUUCCCCCCGCAUACCCAAAACGACGUAGCUUAGGCGGUAUUCCAAAAACCGAUCGGUUUUCGAUCUGGUCGAACCGACCGAUUUUCAACCGGUUUUCAAGUUUGUCAUCGGUUUUCUUGGCAUCCGGUUUUUUUCAGUAAUUCGAAUCGAUAACUGGUUUUCAGAACCUUGGUGAAAAGUGAUGUUGGCAGCCCCCAGGUUUGAAGGGUCGGAUCCAUCAUAUUGAAAACGAUAAUAAUAAUUUUGUUAUUUUCAUCGUUCAUUACUUGAUACAUAGUUUGUCUUCUUAGGUUAUCUUGUCUCUCUUCUCUCUUCCCCUCCAUUUUUAUCUGGAUCCACAAGCCAAAGCCAUGGGAGAAAUGAAUUGGAUUCAGCGCAAGAUCUUCCUCUACAAUGUUACUUUCGGGCUUUAUAUGUUGGAUUGGUGGGAACGCUGUACUUUCAAUAUUUUGCUGAUUGUAUUAAUGUGGUUCGUGAUAAGAUAUAUUACUGAGUUCUUCAGGAGUUACAUUUUAAUGGCAGGUAUGUGUUCAAGCAGUAUAUGUAGAUGGUGACUUGAGGAUUCAUAUUAGUUGCAUUUGGUGUAGCUAACUAGGGAAAUAUACUGUAGCAGUUUGAUAUGAACUGACUUUGGAGUUUCUUCAAGCUGUCAACAGAAGUUGCGCAUCUCAUGCCUGUUGUGCACCGUCGUUAAUCUUAUAUUUUUGACAUUUGCUUGCUUGUUAGAUUGUAUUAUGUGGGAUGAUAAUUGCAUUACUCAGUUGUAAUAAUCUUUUUUUGAGAAUUUUUACUAUUGUGUUUGAACUAUUGAAAAUUCAAAAUGUGAGAUCCUCUUUAAAGCCAUAAGGUUUCAUUGAAGCCCCA